GAUGAACGCUAGCGGCAGGCCUAAUACAUGCAAGUCGAACGGUAACAUGAGUAGCAAUACUUGAUGACGAGUGGCGCACGGGUGCGUAACGCGUAUGCAAUCUACCUUUAACUGGUGAAUAGCCCGAAGAAAUUCGGAUUAAUACACCAUAGUAUAUUAGAGUAGCAUUACUUUAAUAUUAAAACUACGGUGGUUAAAGAUGAGCAUGCGUGACAUUAGCUAGUUGGUGAGGUAACGGCUCACCAAGGCUACGAUGUCUAGGGGAUCUGAGAGGAUUAACCCCCACACUGGUACUGAGACAGGGACCAGACUCCUACGGAGGCAGCAGUAAGGAAUAUUGGACAAUGGUCGCAAGACUGAUCCGGCCAUGCCGCGUGAAGGAUGACGGCCCUAUGGGUUGUAAACUUCUUUUGUACGGGAAAAACCCCUCUACGUGUAGAGGGCUGAUUGUACUGUAAGAAUAAGGAUCGGCUAACUCCGUGCCAGCAGCCGCGGUAAU
Molecule: ribosomal RNA, 499 nt
Filed under: uncultured bacterium
Lineage: Bacteria
Description: bacterial SSU rRNA
Rfam family: Bacterial small subunit ribosomal RNA
Source: RNAcentral